GGUUUAGCAAAAUGUGACUUAACUCUGGUGCCAGAAACAAUGUCAACACCAUUUUUGGCAUGGUGAAGAGACUGAAGCAUAGUAAUAAGAGCAGAACGAGCAUCACCUUCUUCAUAUACACUAGUACAAUAAUUAUGCAUUUCAAUUACUCCCUUAUGGUCCAUUUCCGCAGCUUCAUUCAUUAUACCUUUGAACCAUACUCCCUUAUGGUCCAUUUCAGCAGCUUCAUUCAUUAUACCUUUAAACCAAUCAAAUGAACCUUGUUCUCUAGUAACCCAAUAGAAAUAUGCCCUCCUUGUAUUAAAGUUAUUUCUUCCACUUGCUGAACCUGAUUUAUUACCCUUAUUUUUUGCAAUAUUGGGGCUAGAAUUUGGUGCCAUAUUAUUAUUGUGUCCAU
This 397-nucleotide long non-coding RNA is filed under the name Nicotiana benthamiana. RNAcentral's name for it is "long non-coding RNA (NBEN_LNC024873)". Lineage: Eukaryota; Viridiplantae; Streptophyta; Magnoliopsida; Solanales; Solanaceae. The record is from RNAcentral.